UGUUUCUCGAAAAUAUAAUGAGAAAUAAGGUCUGCCCAAUGAUUAUUUGAAUGGCCGCAGUAUCUUGACUGUGCGAAGGUAGCAUAAUCAAUUGUCUUUUAAUUGAGGUCUGGUAUGAAUGAUUUAAUGCGAGAUUAGCUGUUUCUUUAAGAACAACGAAUUUUUAAGGUAGGUGAAGAUACUUAUAUAUAAAUAAAAGACGAGAAGACCCUAUAAAGUUUUAUAUUUUAAACAAUGUUAUUUUUUUGUUUAUAAGUGUUUUAUUGGGGCAAUUGUAGAAUAAGAGAAACUUCUAGGUAUUUAUAAAUAUUAAUGAGUAUAUGGCUUAUGAUCCAAAAAUUUGAUUGUUAGAGUAAAUUACUUUAGGGAUAACAGCGUAAUUUAUUUAUAGAGUUCUUAUCGAUGAAUAAGAUUGCGACCUCGAUGUUGGAUUAAGAUACCUUUAGUGGCGCAGGAGUUUUAAGGGGUGGUCUGUUCGACCAUUAAAUUCUUACA
This 495-nucleotide ribosomal RNA is filed under the name Lithobius tenebrosus. RNAcentral's name for it is "partial large subunit ribosomal RNA". It matches the Rfam family "Bacterial large subunit ribosomal RNA", at positions 1816 to 2600 of the family's 2925-position model. The record is from RNAcentral. Lineage: Eukaryota; Metazoa; Arthropoda; Chilopoda; Lithobiomorpha; Lithobiidae.